Molecule: transfer RNA, 66 nt
Filed under: Eutreptiella gymnastica
Lineage: Eukaryota; Euglenozoa; Euglenophyceae; Eutreptiales; Eutreptiaceae
Source: RNAcentral
AAAGUAGUUGAAUGGUUUACAGCAUGGUCUUGAGAAUGAACGGUUAUGGGUUCAAAUUCCAGUGGG